RNAcentral lists this unclassified non-coding RNA (298 nucleotides) under fungal sp. Its description in RNAcentral is "partial internal transcribed spacer region". The stretch from base 1 to 46 matches the Rfam family "Eukaryotic small subunit ribosomal RNA", at positions 1786 to 1831 of the family's 1831-position model. The record is from RNAcentral. Lineage: Eukaryota; Fungi. RNAcentral also lists the same sequence under 1 other name.
AAGUCGUAACAAGGUUUCCGUAGGUGAACCUGCGGAAGGAUCAUUAACACGUAUCUACGUUGAUCUCUACCACACCCACUCUGUGAACCGGGAACGAACUCGUUGUUGCGUCGAUCGAGAGAGAUCUCGCUCGUGCAUUUGUUCCGACCCACCCUUUUUUUUCACCCCUGUCUUGACUCUCCGUUUUGAACCCCCCCAGUGGCCUGAUCACGAGGUGUCCCCCAGUGGGACCCGAACCAUAUGGAUUUUCCAAUGAGUUUACACAGCACAACUCUUAGCAAUGGAUAUCUUGGUUCUC